GACGAACGCUGGCGGCGUGCUUAACACAUGCAAGUCGAACGGAAAGGCCCUGCUUUUGUGGGGUGCUCGAGUGGCGAACGGGUGAGUAACACGUGAGUAACCUGCCCUUGACUUUGGGAUAACUUCAGGAAACUGGGGCUAAUACCGGAUAGGAGCUCCUGCUGCAUGGUGGGGGUUGGAAAGUUUCGGCGGUUGGGGAUGGACUCGCGGCUUAUCAGCUUGUUGGUGGGGUAGUGGCUUUCCAAGGCUUUGACGGGUAGCCGGCCUGAGAGGGUGACCGGCCACAUUGGGACUGAGAUACGGCCCAGACUCGUACGGGAGGCAGCAGUGGGGAAUAUUGCACAAUGGGCGGAAGCCUGAUGCAGCAACGCCGCGUGCGGGAUGACGGCCUUCGGGUUGUAAACCGCUUUCGCCUGUGACGAAGCGUGAGUGACGGUAAUGGGUAAAGAAGCACCGGCUAACUACGUG
This 468-nucleotide ribosomal RNA is filed under the name uncultured bacterium. Its description in RNAcentral is "partial 16S ribosomal RNA". It matches the Rfam family "Bacterial small subunit ribosomal RNA", at positions 28 to 507 of the family's 1533-position model. The record is from RNAcentral.